Molecule: ribosomal RNA, 726 nt
Filed under: uncultured Bacilli bacterium
Lineage: Bacteria; Bacillati; Bacillota; Bacilli
Description: bacterial SSU rRNA
Rfam family: Bacterial small subunit ribosomal RNA
Source: RNAcentral
ACGAGAGCGAACGGUGCUUGCACUGGUCAAUCUAGUGGCGAACGGGUGAGUAACACGUGGGUAACCUGCCCAUCAGAGGGGGAUAACAUCCGGAAACGGAUGCUAAAACCGCAUAGGUCUUCGAGCCGCAUGGCUUGAAGAGGAAAAGAGGCGCAAGCUUCUGCUGAUGGAUGGACCCGCGGUGCAUUAGCUAGUUGGUGAGGUAACGGCUCACCAAGGCCGUGAUGCAUAGCCGACCUGAGAGGGUGAUCGGCCACAUUGGGACUGAGACACGGCCCAAACUCCUACGGGAGGCAGCAGUAGGGAAUCUUCCGCAAUGGACGCAAGUCUGACGGAGCAACGCCGCGUGAGUGAAGAAGGUUUUCGGAUCGUAAAACUCUGUUGUUAGAGAAGAACAAGUGCUAGAGUAACUGUUAGCGCCUUGACGGUAUCUAACCAGAAAGCCACGGCUAACUACGUGCCAGCAGCCGCGGUAAUACGUAGGUGGCAAGCGUUGUCCGGAUUUAUUGGGCGUAAAGCGAGCGCAGGCGGUUCCUUAAGUCUGAUGUGAAAGCCCCCGGCUCAACCGGGGAGGGUCAUUGGAAACUGGGGAACUUGAGUGCAGAAGAGGAGAGUGGAAUUCCAUGUGUAGCGGUGAAAUGCGUAGAUAUAUGGAGGAACACCAGUGGCGAAGGCGACUCUCUGGUCUGUAACUGACGCUGAGGCUCGAAAGCGUGGGUAGCAAAC